AGGUAUAGGGGUUUCUAAUAGGGGCAGGUCGGUGUUGGUAGGCUGCAACGACAUAUUGACGGUAUUUGUUAUUCAGUGGCUGACGUCAAAGGAAACAAGAAAUAACUGCCUUAACACAUUGACUACUAAGCGGACUAGCCGAAAAUCUUAACCGGAGGCAAAGCAUGAUUUUUGUGGCGCAAAAUUAAUCAAAACAUUUAUAAUUUUUUCAAAGGACUACGUGCAAACGGACAAGCAAUGG
Anastrepha ludens (Mexican fruit fly) is the source of this 241-nucleotide long non-coding RNA. RefSeq lists it as uncharacterized. NCBI's taxonomy places the organism in Eukaryota, Metazoa, Arthropoda, Insecta, Diptera, Tephritidae. The record is from RefSeq and is a predicted model, not a curated record. The transcript has 2 exons.